RNAcentral lists this ribosomal RNA (276 nucleotides) under uncultured bacterium. RNAcentral describes it as "partial small subunit ribosomal RNA". It matches the Rfam family "Bacterial small subunit ribosomal RNA", at positions 26 to 287 of the family's 1533-position model. The record is from RNAcentral.
AGGACGAACGCUGGCGGCGUGCUUAACACAUGCAAGUCGAGGGCAUUUAUGCAGCAAUGUGUGAGUGACCGGCGAACGGGUGCGUAACACGUGAGCGACCUUGCCUCGUGGUGGGGGAUAGCCGGCCCAACGGCCGGGUAAUACCGCAUAUGGUGGUUUCUUCGCAUGGGGAGACUAGCAAAGCUGAGUCGAAAGACUUGGCGCCACGAGGGGGGGCUCGCGGCCUAUCAGCUAGGUUGGGGGGGUAAUGGCCCACCAAGGCGACGGACGGGUAGC